GACGUGACGAUGGCCCCACCUAUGUCACCAUCAACCACCCCAGCCAAAACAAGGCUGCUCCAAAACCAGAUACUCAGCAGGAGGACAUGGUGACAUAUGCCUCAGUCAAUCUCCUCAUCUAGUAGAAACUAGAGAGCCAUCGAGCAACACUGGUGACCACAGAGAUCUCUCUCAACCGUCAACAAACCUCAGGGAAAGAAAAAAAUUGUCGUCAGAACCACUGCAGUGACACAAUAUCUUGUCAGUUUUCAUGCUAUGUAACAAUUUAUAUAUUUAUUUGUUUUGCAAGUUAUGCAUUGCUUCUACACUGAUAUACUUUAUCUAUUAUACCUAUUAAUUCAAUUUCUAAUACACCUAUAAACUCCUGUAAAGGAAAGUACUGCAGAGUAGUGGUCUUCUGUUGAUGUACAGAUUCAGAGAAGAGGAGUUUGAGCGCCUCUCGUUUCCUCAAUUUGCUUCUGCUAUUCAGUUUUUCCAUCGAUUGAAGCAUUGACCACUAUGACACGAACAAAAAUAUGUUACUACCAUUUGUAUUAUUUCUCGUUAUUAACUUCUCUGCAAGCAUCUUACUGGCUGCCCUCUGGGGCUAACUGAAAAUGCACCUCUGUCCUGUUAUAGACAAAUGUUUACUAAUUUGUAUUCCAAAUAAAUGGUCUUCCAAUUAGUUUUUUAUUCAUGAA
Molecule: long non-coding RNA, 680 nt
Organism: Osmerus eperlanus (European smelt)
Lineage: Eukaryota; Metazoa; Chordata; Actinopteri; Osmeriformes; Osmeridae
Exons: 2
Source: RefSeq, a predicted model, not a curated record